UUCUAAUAGUGACAAUAAUAUUAGUAAUGCCUGCUCUAUGGAUACUAAAUGGCCGCAGAUCUUCUGUGCUAAGGUAGCAUAAUCAUUUGCCUUAUAAUUAAAGGCUAGAAUAAAAGGUGAUACAUACAAAUUUCUUUAUUUUCCUGAUUUCUUUAAAUUAAUUUGUAAGUAAGAAAGCUUACAUUGCUUGGGUGGACGACAAGACCCUAUCGAACUUUACUCUAGUUGAACUGGGGUGGUUAACAAAAUAAAUCUUUCACAAUCUAUAUAAUAUCCCUUAUAAAGGAACAUUAAACAAGUUACCGUAGGGACAACAGCAUAAUUUUUCCUUAAAGAUCUUAUUGAAAGAAAAGUUUGUGACCUCGAUGUUGAAUAUUAUUCUAUUGGGGGCAAAUCCCCUCUAAGAUAGUCUGUUCGACUUUUAAAUAUUUACA
RNAcentral lists this ribosomal RNA (434 nucleotides) under Misgolas hubbardi. RNAcentral describes it as "partial 16S ribosomal RNA". It matches the Rfam family "Bacterial large subunit ribosomal RNA", at positions 1829 to 2600 of the family's 2925-position model. The record is from RNAcentral. Lineage: Eukaryota; Metazoa; Arthropoda; Arachnida; Araneae; Idiopidae.